This 900-nucleotide ribosomal RNA is filed under the name Cellulosimicrobium cellulans. RNAcentral's name for it is "bacterial SSU rRNA". It matches the Rfam family "Bacterial small subunit ribosomal RNA", at positions 507 to 1404 of the family's 1533-position model. RNAcentral also lists the same sequence under 1 other name. The record is from RNAcentral. Lineage: Bacteria; Bacillati; Actinomycetota; Actinomycetes; Micrococcales; Promicromonosporaceae.
GCCAGCAGCCGCGGUAAUACGUAGGGCGCAAGCGUUGUCCGGAAUUAUUGGGCGUAAAGAGCUCGUAGGCGGUUUGUCGCGUCUGGUGUGAAAACUCGAGGCUCAACCUCGAGCUUGCAUCGGGUACGGGCAGACUAGAGUGCGGUAGGGGAGACUGGAAUUCCUGGUGUAGCGGUGGAAUGCGCAGAUAUCAGGAGGAACACCGAUGGCGAAGGCAGGUCUCUGGGCCGCAACUGACGCUGAGGAGCGAAAGCAUGGGGAGCGAACAGGAUUAGAUACCCUGGUAGUCCAUGCCGUAAACGUUGGGCACUAGGUGUGGGGCUCAUUCCACGAGUUCCGUGCCGCAGCAAACGCAUUAAGUGCCCCGCCUGGGGAGUACGGCCGCAAGGCUAAAACUCAAAGGAAUUGACGGGGGCCCGCACAAGCGGCGGAGCAUGCGGAUUAAUUCGAUGCAACGCGAAGAACCUUACCAAGGCUUGACAUGCACGAGAAGCCACCAGAGAUGGUGGUCUCUUUGGACACUCGUGCACAGGUGGUGCAUGGUUGUCGUCAGCUCGUGUCGUGAGAUGUUGGGUUAAGUCCCGCAACGAGCGCAACCCUCGUCCCAUGUUGCCAGCGGGUUAUGCCGGGGACUCAUGGGAGACUGCCGGGGUCAACUCGGAGGAAGGUGGGGAUGACGUCAAAUCAUCAUGCCCCUUAUGUCUUGGGCUUCACGCAUGCUACAAUGGCCGGUACAAAGGGCUUCGAUACCGUAAGGUGGAGCGAAUCCCAAAAAGCCGGUCUCAGUUCGGAUUGGGGUCUGCAACUCGACCCCAUGAAGUCGGAGUCGCUAGUAAUCGCAGAUCAGCAACGCUGCGGUGAAUACGUUCCCGGGCCUUGUACACACCGCCCGUCAAGUCC